UCUCGGGGUUACAGCCUUGCUGAAUUAUUCACCCUUGUCUUUUGCGUACUUCUUGUUUCCUUGGUGGGUUCGCCCACCACUAGGACAAACAUAAACCUUUUGUAAUUGCAAUCAGCGUCAGUAACAAAUUAAUAAUUACAACUUUCAACAACGGAUCUCUUGGUUCUGGCAUCGAUGAAGAACGCAGCGAAAUGCGAUAAGUAGUGUGAAUUGCAGAAUUCAGUGAAUCAUCGAAUCUUUGAACGCACAUUGCGCCCUUUGGUAUUCCAAAGGGCAUGCCUGUUCGAGCGUCAUUUGUACCCUCAAGCUUUGCUUGGUGUUGGGCGUCUUGUCUCUAGCUUUGCUGGAGACUCGCCUUAAAGUAAUUGGCAGCCGGCCUACUGGUUUCGGAGCGCAGCACAAGUCGCACUCUCUAUCAGCAAAGGUCUAGCAUCCAUUAAGCCUUUUUUUCAACUUUUGACCUCGGAUCAGGUAGGGAUACCCGCUGAACUUAAGCAUAUCAAUAAGCCGGAGGAAA
RNAcentral lists this ribosomal RNA (517 nucleotides) under Alternaria tenuissima. Its description in RNAcentral is "eukaryotic LSU rRNA". The stretch from base 140 to 293 matches the Rfam family "5.8S ribosomal RNA". The record is from RNAcentral. Lineage: Eukaryota; Fungi; Ascomycota; Dothideomycetes; Pleosporales; Pleosporaceae.